This 465-nucleotide ribosomal RNA is filed under the name uncultured Klebsiella sp. Its description in RNAcentral is "bacterial SSU rRNA". It matches the Rfam family "Bacterial small subunit ribosomal RNA", at positions 338 to 795 of the family's 1533-position model. The record is from RNAcentral. Lineage: Bacteria; Pseudomonadati; Pseudomonadota; Gammaproteobacteria; Enterobacterales; Enterobacteriaceae.
CCUACGGGCGGCAGCAGUGGGGAAUAUUGCACAAUGGGCGCAAGCCUGAUGCAGCCAUGCCGCGUGUGUGAAGAAGGCCUUCGGGUUGUAAAGCACUUUCAGCGGGGAGGAAGGCGUUAAGGUUAAUAACCUUGGCGAUUGACGUUACCCGCAGAAGAAGCACCGGCUAACUCCGUGCCAGCAGCCGCGGUAGUACGGAGGGUGCAAGCGUUAAUCGGAAUUACUGGGCGUAAAGCGCACGCAGGCGGUCUGUCAAGUCGGAUGUGAAAUCCCCGGGCUCAACCUGGGAACUGCAUUCGAAACUGGCAGGCUAGAGUCUUGUAGAGGGGGGUAGAAUUCCAGGUGUAGCGGUGAAAUGCGUAGAGAUCUGGAGGAAUACCGGUGGCGAAGGCGGCCCCCUGGACAAAGACUGACGCUCAGGUGCGAAAGCGUGGGGAGCAAACAGGAUUAGAUACCCUUGUAGUC